UGGAGCUGGGGGUUUGAGCUGGGGCACUGGAGUGGGGUGGGGUGUCCAAGCACCUCCUGGCCCCUCUGAACCAUAGCACCAAGGCUGGCAUCCUCCAGCACCCAGGAAAGACAGAGGCCUGCUCAAGGCCUGGCACCAAGACCUAUGGACUCCAGGGCCUGGGUUCUGACCACGCUGUUGCCUGGCACCCUCCUCCCCAUGUGAGAGCUGGUGGGGAAACCCGCCCCACAGAGCUCCCCCCACCACCAGGCAGCACGAAGGUUCUUCUUUCUGCAGCUGAAGCCACCUGCCUGGGCCGCAAGCCUUGGCCUCACCUGGAGCUCAGCUCCCCGCUCCCGAGCCCAGCCAAGCCCAGGUCCUGCUCCCUCCCCAAGCCUGACGCCUGACAUCCCUCCACUGCCGGCGGCUGCUCUGCCUGCAGUGUGACAGGGAAUCUCUGUUGCAACGGAGGCCAGCUCAGUCCAGCGGGGAGGAGGAGCUGUCCCGGGCCGGUGGGCAGGGCCAAUUGGGAGAGACAGGUGUCUGGAAGGACCCGGAGGAUGAGGCCUGGAGCUAAAGGCUGGACCCUGAGGACACUGUCCUGCCGGCUCGUCUGGAGCAGGUCAGGCCCAGCAGGGCAUCCCCCGGAUAGUCCCUCAGAGCACGUCCAGGCUGUGCCCACUUCCCAAGGACAUCACCAAGUCACUGUCCACCCUCAGAGCACCUGCUCCUCACACACGCUGUACCCCGGACUCCCCCGGGUGCCAGGUGGGUGCUGUGCCUGCCUCUUGAUUCUGGGAACCUCCUCUCCAGCCUGGUCCCUCACCAGAGGCAGCCCUUAAAGACCAUCCGCCCUACCUCCUCAUUUUACACUCGGGGAAACUGAGUCCCAUAGAACAAACAGGCAGCCGCACCAGGCCUCCCGCUCUCAGGGAUAGGCCAGCGGGGAACGAGGAGUGACCAGAACCCAGGACUCCCGCCCUCAUCUGACAGCCACUUAGCCCACUUCCCACUGGGGACUCUUCCUUGGAAGGUUGCUCUGGAAACCCCCUACUGUGUGGGGUAACCUCGCCGGGCACCCCACCCUGGCCGAGCACUGCCAUGCCACACAAGAAGGAUGGAACCUUCCUCCCCAAGCUGGGGUGGGGCAGGGGCUGGGGGAGAUGGAAGGCCCUGCACCGCCCCCAGCCUCCCUGCCACUCCCCACACCUGGGAGAUGCUCAGGACCCCCAUGUAGCCACGGCCGCUCCCCCCAGCUUCUUACCAGGUCGAGGACAGAUGGGGACGGACGCUGCUGCCUCGGCACCUGCUGAUUAGUGCGGCCCACCCUGAGGGGCGCCCCUGUUCCCCAAGGUGGUUGGGAGGGCACUCGCGGGUCCUGGGGAAGUUGGAUGGCCCUGGGAAUGGCGGGUCCUGGAGGGUGCGGGAGCCUGAGGGGGAACUUGGGGGUCUUAGGUUAGACCGGGGCCUCCCCGCGUGGGGAGGGCGCAGCAGACUGUACCUGGGGGCGCAUUGGCCGUCGUCAAACUCGAAGGUCCGGUUGGUGUAGCCCCCGCCGCGCGCCUCCCGGCAGACGCCCCCCGGGGUCCGCGCCCCGUCAGGGAGUGGCAUGCGGCCUGGCAGCUCGGACCCGACCCGAGGGAGAAGCGAGUGGGAGCCGCCACCUUCUUCCCUCGCGUUGCCCUGAAAAACAUUUUUUUUUUCCUCGCAGAUUAGCGAGGAAAAGACGCCAGUUCCAGGGUCGGGUGCAGGCGUCUG
RNAcentral lists this long non-coding RNA (1737 nucleotides) under Homo sapiens (human). RNAcentral's name for it is "HSALNT0355397". The record is from RNAcentral. Lineage: Eukaryota; Metazoa; Chordata; Mammalia; Primates; Hominidae.